Molecule: ribosomal RNA, 468 nt
Filed under: uncultured bacterium
Lineage: Bacteria
Description: partial 16S ribosomal RNA
Rfam family: Bacterial small subunit ribosomal RNA
Source: RNAcentral
GACGAACGCUGGCGGCGUGCUUAACACAUGCAAGUCGAACGGAAAGGCCCUGCUUUUGUGGGGUGCUCGAGUGGCGAACGGGUGAGUAACACGUGAGUAACCUGCCCUUGACUUUGGGAUAACUUCAGGAAACUGGGGCUAAUACCGGAUAGGAGCUCCUGCUGCAUGGUGGGGGUUGGAAAGUUUCGGCGGUUGGGGAUGGACUCGCGGCUUAUCAGCUUGUUGGUGGGGUAGUGGCUUACCAAGGCUUUGACGGGUAGCCGGCCUGAGAGGGGGACCGGCCACAUUGGGACUGCGAUGCGGCCCAGACUCCUACGGGAGGCAGCAGUGGGGAGUAUUGCACAAUGGGCGGAAGCCUGAUGCAGCAACGCCGCGUGCGGGAUGACGGCCUUCGGGUUGUAAACCGCUUUCGCCUGUGACGAAGCGUGAGUGACGGUAAUGGGUAAAGAAGCACCGGCUAACUACGUG